AGGAGAUGAGGAGGAGAGACACCGACAGCAGGUUUAACAGAUAUAACUACAAUAUAAAGCAAAAAUGAACUACAGCACACAUUGUAAUGGGGUUAGGAUUCCAAUAACACCACAUGAAUCAGGCAUAUACACUGUUACUAAUGCAAACUAUUUAAAUGUAAAAUUUGUCUUCUAUGGAUUGGCACACGCUUGUAUCCAGAGGCCCUUCUCAAGGACCGAGAAGUGGCAGCUUGGUGACUGGAUCCCCAAACUAUGGUCUAAAAAUGUCAUUUAAAAGUCGAAAAUUUAAGUUGUUUUAAUCAUUUCAUAUCUGUAUGUGAUAAUAAAGGUUAUAUUUUAAACUAAAAUUUCCUUUAGUUAUUAAUAGAGGUCAAAGCACUGAUAAUUGAUUGCUGAAACUAUCGGCUUUUGGCAAAAAUUAUUACGAGAGCGGCCUCUAGAGGCGAAUCACUGAUUCCACGUGCUGCACGGAGAGCGCUAUAUUAAAUUUGUUAUUCAUAAUUUAUUCAUUAUAAUGUUAUUUAUUAAUUAAUAUAUUCAUAUUUAUUUCCUUGCACAUUUUCAUGGUUCAGUAGUGUUUUUUUUUUUUUUUCUGUAAUAAAGUUCAAUACUAUUUAGCAUGAAGUGUUUGUUUUAUUCAGUAUCCAUUUGAACAGUUUGAUUAAUCGGUUAUCGGCAAGUAAGAUUCGACCUAGCUUUCGGCAAAAUCCAAUAUCGGUCGAUCUCUAGUUAUUAGCGUAGCCUAAUUUGUUAGCUUUACCCACCAAUCAUAUGGAUAAGUAAGUAAAUGUUUUGAUUUAAAUACAAUAAAUAUGAAAAAAAUGUCAUUAUGAUAGUUAUAAUGCUCUGUGAAUAGGUUAUAUAUCUCUUGCAAUGUAAUACUCAUUUGUCUGUAUGGUGCAUAACAAAAUAAUAAACUAAUAAACUAAAUAAUAAAAUCUCCACAAUAAUAUUUAUAGCCACUAUGGACAAUGUAAUUUUCUGUUACAGACUGACCCCCUAUUAAAGAAAGCAGAAAUUACGUGGCCCUCACAGAAAAAGGUUUGAAAAUCCAUAAAAUAGAGCUUUUUUUCCUUUUUUCUAAAACAUCACUAAAUAACAGACUAAGGAUCAGCACUGAAAUCUCUGUGGAUGCUUACUGGAAUCCUCACCCAUUAUCAAAGAAUGUAGUCCAAAUGCAUAAUAUCAUUAUUAUUGUGCAUCGACAUGAAUGUACAACAAAGACAUAAAACCCACUUAGAACCUUCAAAUCAAUAAAAAAAAAAAAAAACCACAGAUUUAGAAAUCAGGAUUAUUUCCGUCUCAUGCAAUGCUGAAGCCAAACCAAAAGCAACAUGUGGGGAAAAAAAGGAAAAGAACCGCAAAGGAAGCUGCAGUAAGUCAUGUGAAUGAAGUAUGGGGUUUGCAGAUUAUAGAACUUUUAUACUGUACAAGAGGCACAUUUACAGUAAAAAUGCUUUACACACUCAUCAGGAAGGGUAUUGACCCCCUACUACACGUGUCCUUCACUGUCUCAUGGCCCCUUUGUAUAGCAUUAAAGGUGUUAUGAUUGGUGGUCAGUCUGGAUUAGGAUUAAUAUCACUACGUUCUGUUACACAGGAUCACAUUUACUACAAUGUUAGGCUCUUGAAAUGAAUAAUAAAUGUGACUAGCGCUUUCUGAUCCGAACCACCCCUGAAUGCCAGGCAGAAUGGGGAAAAAAAGCCUAUUUGAGAUGCUUUUAGUGCGAUUGUAAUGAUAGAACACUGGGGUUAAAUAUAAAGAAUUAAAAUUAGUCUGGAUAAAAGACAUUAACGGAAUGAACCAACUGAAAUCACACCUUUAAAAAAAAAAAAAAAAAAAGGACCUCCCAAAGCAGACUACUCCUACAAACAGCUGUUCUUUAUGCACAAUCGUUCAGAUUAUUCAUAAUGUAAAUCAGCAAAUUGGUACCAGUAUUUUAGACAUCAGCAACGCUUUAGGAAUCAAUUCGUUCGAAAGAGGUUUUUGGUGUAUUAGUAUGCACCUGUUCCAGUUGGAUAAAGAACAACUGAUGAUGAACACCU
Molecule: long non-coding RNA, 2045 nt
Organism: Silurus meridionalis
Lineage: Eukaryota; Metazoa; Chordata; Actinopteri; Siluriformes; Siluridae
Exons: 2
Source: RefSeq, a predicted model, not a curated record